ACUUACCACUUAUUACAAUAUACAUUUCUUCAAAUUCUAGCAAUAUAAAUUUAAACUUCAGGAGCUUCAAGAGAGGAACCAUCAUAUUCCGGCUUUGGUGCAAGGUCUGGAAAGAGGAUGUAUAGCAGAUGUCUGAAGCUUUGGUUGAAAAUUGACAAUCCAUCCAAGCGUAUAGUCGGCCAUAAAUACUAAAUCUCGUUUGUUUUCUUCCAUAUUUGAGAAUUUUUUUUGUUUAAUUGAUAUUGUGAUAGAUGUAUACAUGAAAAUUAUUCAUAGUUGUUAAAUAUAUUUCUACUGAUGCUA
Molecule: long non-coding RNA, 303 nt
Organism: Eurytemora carolleeae
Lineage: Eukaryota; Metazoa; Arthropoda; Copepoda; Calanoida; Temoridae
Exons: 2
Source: RefSeq, a predicted model, not a curated record